This is a long non-coding RNA of Alligator mississippiensis (American alligator), 1441 nucleotides long. RefSeq lists it as uncharacterized. NCBI's taxonomy places the organism in Eukaryota, Metazoa, Chordata, Crocodylia, Alligatoridae. The transcript has 5 exons. The record is from RefSeq and is a predicted model, not a curated record.
UUAUCCAGAGAGAAAAGCCAAUUGGCUCAUCAUUGGUGAUGAACUGUGUGUGACAUGCUAUCUCUUUAUUUUCAGAUCAGAAGGGAAAACCAUUUGACCCUUCCAAGACCCAAACACUGGUUUGCCAGCUUUCCCCACUUGCUAACAAAGGAACUCGCAAGUGAACUCAUUUGCCAUUGGAUUACUCAUUUGUUUCCUACAACCUGUCCAAACAUCUGCUGUAUCCAUAUUUACUUGUCUGUCUUUCUGCAAGGUCAAAGCACUAAGGAUUAGUCCCUGGAGAAAGCUUUACAGAAGGGUUAUAUUAUGCAAAUAUAGUGACAGAUCCUGGUACACCUAAAGCCAAUUCAAAGACAAAGCAGAAAAAUAAGACCUGGCAUUUUCUGAGGGCUGCCUUGAGUCAAACAAGAGGUGGCUUGAGUCUUAAAAGGCUGAGAACCAGUGCUAGAGUGACUCCUACAGCUAGCCAUCUUUGCACACCUUCUGGCCACCUUCUCAAUGCAGAAUGAAGUGAAACUGGCAUCUGGCAGCGAAUUGAGGGAGCACAAAUAAAUGAAUUUGGGCCUGCUACAUUGCUCUUGGAGUCUGCAUCAACAUGAAGUAUGAGCCACCCGCUCUCCCUGGAAGCUGUGUUCAGAUCAUGCUGAUUACCAUCUGUUCAAUCUUACCCCUGGAUUUCUGCAACAUUUUCAGCAUAACAAAAGCACAAAUGCUUUUGUCUCUUGCUGGCAAGUACAAAAUAGUAGCACUAUGUGGAAAUGGAGAAGAAAAAUUCUGGUUUGUUGCUUUAGGAUUGUAUGUGGAUUUCAAAGUUUCAGUUUGGUAUCAAGCAUUUCCAUAUAAAUGUAUGAGUGAGUGAUUUACCAAACCAAUGCUCUUGGUAAAUUAGAGAUGGGAGACCCCUUUUCAGUUCUAUGUCCCAACAAUACAUAAAGUCAAGCACUUACAGAUUAGAAAAUAUCAGCUCUGGUUUACUGUGUAACCUUAAUUGCCCCUUCCCCAUGUAUAAUCAUUACAAUAUAGCUUUUUAAGUAAUGAUCCCAUGCCAUUGAGCAGCUAUUCAAUUUUUUGUUCAAUGUGUGGCCCCAGGCCUUAUAUACAUGCUAUUUAAACCCUGCUCUGAAGACAGAAUUCUUAAUUUCCUGGUGGGUUAUGCAAGGGGGGCUCACCAGGAUGCUCCUGUUGUCAACACAGAAGGUGAUCAGAUGAUCAAACAGAAACCAAUUGGAUGACCUGCAGGACUAAAACAGUAGAAAUUGGAUGAAAUUUAAUACCACAGAAUAAUGGCAAGUCGGAAGUGCUUCAUAGUUUUUUCACAACACUCUCUGUUGAGAUGAGGUCAAAAGUGGCAGCAGCUGGGUGCCCCCAGCAUGGGUUCACUGCCUAGAUUCUGGGUUGGGGCACAUGGUGUGGGAGAGGGUUGGCAACACACUUGGGCAUG